RNAcentral lists this ribosomal RNA (621 nucleotides) under uncultured bacterium. Its description in RNAcentral is "bacterial SSU rRNA". It matches the Rfam family "Bacterial small subunit ribosomal RNA", at positions 338 to 951 of the family's 1533-position model. The record is from RNAcentral.
CCUACGGGAGGCAGCAGUGGGGAAUUUUGGACAAUGGGCGCAAGCCUGAUCCAGCAAUGCCGCGUGAGUGAAGAAGGCCUUCGGGUUGUAAAGCUCUUUUGUCAGGGAAGAAACGGUGGGAGCUAAUAUCUCCUACUAAUGACGGUACCUGAAGAAUAAGCACCGGCUAACUACGUGCCAGCAGCCGCGGUAAUACGUAGGGUGCAAGCGUUAAUCGGAAUUACUGGGCGUAAAGCGUGCGCAGGCGGUUUUGUAAGUCUGUCGUGAAAGCCCCGGGCUCAACCUGGGAAUUGCGAUGGAGACUGCGAGGCUUGAAUCUGGCAGAGGGGGGUAGAAUUCCACGUGUAGCAGUGAAAUGCGUAGAGAUGUGGAGGAACACCGAUGGCGAAGGCAGCCCCCUGGGUCAAGAUUGACGCUCAUGCACGAAAGCGUGGGGAGCAAACAGGAUUAGAUACCCUGGUAGUCCACGCCCUAAACGAUGUCUACUAGUUGUCGGGUUUUAAUUAACUUGGUAACGCAGCUAACGCGUGAAGUAGACCGCCUGGGGAGUACGGUCGCAAGAUUAAAACGUCAAAGGAAUUGACGGCGUGAGACGUGCGACGACGACGACGAGGGAGGAGG